UGCUUCUCCCUCGCUAUUUGGUUAUGUUUGACUGUGUGUUUGGUGUUUUCAGUCACAGGAAGCGGUGAAGGUGUUUCCGACACACACGGAAAGAGAGAGAGAGAGAGAGAGAGAGAGAGAGAGAGAGAGAGAGAGAGAGAGAGAGAUCGCUUAUCGCUCGAGAAGAUAGAAUAGAGCGAGAGAGAGAGAGAGAGAGAGAGAGAGAGAGAGAGAGAGAGAGAGCAGCACAAGUGAAAGAAGGUUAGCCAUUAGCUACUGAAGAAAAUGGCGAUCACGCAGGAUGAAUGCCUCCCCUCGUAGAUGCUGCAAACGCGUUACAUUUCUUUAGCCUUACAGUCGGCGUUCCCUUCCACUCUGUUGCACUUUAUACUUCAAUGAGAGAUUUGGAAUUGGAAGCUGUUGCCACCAAAGAAACUGAAGCAUCUUAA
RNAcentral lists this long non-coding RNA (428 nucleotides) under Gouania willdenowi (blunt-snouted clingfish). RNAcentral's name for it is "lncRNA (ENSGWIG00000019488.1)". Lineage: Eukaryota; Metazoa; Chordata; Actinopteri; Blenniiformes; Gobiesocidae. The record is from RNAcentral.